GCCGAAGAAAGAGAUGUAAUGUUGAGAGCAUUGAAACUUAAGAAAGAUGUAUUCUCAAGAUAUUACCUGAAUGACGAAUUCGAAGACGUUGAAUUCAAUUUCAAUUUAAUCGAUGAUGUUCUGAUUGGAUAUCCAUUUUCUGUACGACUAAAGGCCAAAAAUAAGAGUGCUGAAAAAUCUUACACCAUCAAGGUUAUUCUUCGAGUGGAUACCGUGUUAUAUACUGGAGAAA
This is a long non-coding RNA of Centruroides sculpturatus (bark scorpion), 232 nucleotides long. RefSeq lists it as uncharacterized. The record is from RefSeq and is a predicted model, not a curated record. The transcript has 2 exons. NCBI's taxonomy places the organism in Eukaryota, Metazoa, Arthropoda, Arachnida, Scorpiones, Buthidae.